CGAAACUAAGUGAGCUACUUUAAAGCAGCUAUUAGAGCUAACCCAUCUCUGUCGCAAAAGAGUGGGAUGACUUUUAAGUAGAGGUGAUAGACCUACCGAACUUAGAGAUAGCUGGUUUUUUAAGAAAAGAAUUUUAGUUCAGCCCCAAGCCUCUUAUUAAAUAAAAAAUUUCUUUAGGCUUGGGAGUUAUUCAAAUAAGGCACAGCUUAUUUGAAACAGAAUACAACCUAGAACACAGGGUAAGUGGUUAAAUUUUUAACAAGUGGGCCUAAAAGCAGCCACCUUUCAAAAAGCGUCAAAGCUUAAUAAUAAUAAUUUGCCUAAUAACCUCAACAACCCCGAACCCGCACACACUAUUAAAUUACCCCAUAAAAUUAUGGGAGCUAUUAUGCUAGAACGAGUAACAAGAAAAUGACUUUCUCCAAAAUGUAAGCUUCAGCCACAAUAGACUAACUACCGGCAAUCAACGCCUCUGAGCUAACUGUAGCAACAUGACAAGAAAACCCUAGAAGCCACAGCGUUAACC
RNAcentral lists this ribosomal RNA (526 nucleotides) under Boophis obscurus. RNAcentral's name for it is "partial 16S ribosomal RNA". It matches the Rfam family "Bacterial large subunit ribosomal RNA", at positions 716 to 1655 of the family's 2925-position model. Lineage: Eukaryota; Metazoa; Chordata; Amphibia; Anura; Mantellidae. The record is from RNAcentral.